Molecule: long non-coding RNA, 968 nt
Organism: Peromyscus eremicus (cactus mouse)
Lineage: Eukaryota; Metazoa; Chordata; Mammalia; Rodentia; Cricetidae
Exons: 3
Source: RefSeq, a predicted model, not a curated record
CUGAUAGAUUCCACCGUUGUGAGCCACUGACAUUGAGAACUGUUUAAAGCACAGGAUUGUCACAGAAAACCCUACUACAUGCUGUCAUGUGAUCACUUAAGGCCAGUAAAAAAUAAGAUACAGCUGUGAGGCUAAAGGGGAAAGAGGAAAGGGGAAUGAACCAUCUUAGAGGCGCUGCAGACUGAAUGAACUAACUCAGAAUCAGGAAAAGCUCGUGUGUGGACAACAGCUGCCCAAACUGCUUUCUAAACCACACCAGUGACCAGCCAGCUCCUAAAUGCUCUCUGAGGGCAUCACAGAGACCUUCUCAGGCCUGGAAUGUGUGUUUUCAGACAGUGAGGAUCCUAGAAAAAUCCCUGAGUUUUGCCCACCCCCUAUACUGUCCACACAGGAUGAAAAGUGGCUUCUCUCUCAGAUGAAUUAUGGGCCUGUGUUCCUGAGAAGUCCCUCCUCUCCCUGACUUGGUGUUCCACCUACAAAGAACACGUGACCCCUCUAUUCUGUACCAGCUGGAAGAGGCUUCUGGGUACAGGAAGAUUUUUAUUCUCAGGAUGAGAAGAACCUCAUUGGACCAACCCCUUGGCUUCAACCUCUUACAACCCUGAGCACACACCCCAAAUGACCCUGAUGUUACUAUCUGGAUAUGAAGCAUCCCCAGCACAAGGCUCCUCAGAUGAAUGCCUGGUCCUCACUGCAGCUGUGCUCCGAGGUAGACCCUUCAGAGGAAACUGGGUCCUGAAGACUGACUUCAUCAAUGGGUUCAUCUACUGUGUGACCAAACCAGAUGGAUGCCUUCAGGUUGCUCGUAUUUCCACGGAGGAGAUAGGUGCCGCUGAACAGAAGUGACAUUCAGGAAGCCACCUGACUUCUUAACAAGACAGACUCGUCUCUACCUGGAGCAUGGCCCUGGAGGCGUCCCAAGGCCAAGGGGAAGAGACUCACUCCUACGGACAUGGAGCAAGAAGAGA